GACGAACGCUGGCGGCGUGCUUAACACAUGCAAGUCGAACGGAAAGGCCCUGCUUUUGUGGGGUGCUCGAGUGGCGAACGGGUGAGUAACACGUGAGUAACCUGCCCUUGACUUUGGGAUAACUUCAGGAAACUGGGGCUAAUACCGGAUAGGAGCUCCUGCUGCAUGGUGGGGUUGGAAAGUUUCGGCGGUUGGGGAUGGACUCGCGGCUUAUCAGCUUGUUGGUGGGGUAGUGGCUUACCAAGGCUUUGACGGGUAGCCGGCCUGAGAGGGUGACCGGCCACAUUGGGACUGAGAUACGGCCCAGACUCCUACGGGAGGCAGCAGUGGGGAAUAUUGCACAAUGGGCGGAAGCCUGAUGCAGCAACGCCGCGUGCGGGAUGACGGCCUUCGGGUUGUAAACCGCUUUCGCCUGUGACGAAGCGUGAGUGACGGUAAUGGGUAGAGAAGCACCGGCUAACUACGUG
RNAcentral lists this ribosomal RNA (467 nucleotides) under uncultured bacterium. RNAcentral's name for it is "partial 16S ribosomal RNA". It matches the Rfam family "Bacterial small subunit ribosomal RNA", at positions 28 to 507 of the family's 1533-position model. The record is from RNAcentral.